Ictalurus punctatus (channel catfish) is the source of this 1542-nucleotide long non-coding RNA. NCBI's taxonomy places the organism in Eukaryota, Metazoa, Chordata, Actinopteri, Siluriformes, Ictaluridae. The record is from Ensembl.
GAUAGACAGACAGAUGGAUGGAUAGACAGACAGAUAGACAGACAUAGCUAGAUAGACAGAUGGAUAGACAGUUAUAGAUAGAUGGACAGAUAGAUGGAUAGACAGACAGAUGGAUGGAUAGAUAGACAGAUAGACAGACAUAGCUAGAUAGACAGAUGGAUAGACAGUUAUAGAUAGAUGGACAGAUAGAUGGAUAGACAGAUAAAUGGAUAGACUUGUAGACAGAUAGAUAGACAGAUAGACAGGUAGAUGAUAGACAGGUAGAGAGACAGAUAGACAUAACUACAUAGACAGACAGACAGAACUACAUAGACAGACAGACAGAGACGGAUAGACAGAUAGAUGGAUAGACGGAUAGAUGGAUAGACAGUCAUAGAUAGAUAGACAGACAGACAGACAGAUGGAUGGAUAGACAGACAGGUAGAUAGAUAGAUAGAUGGGAAUAAAAUAGUUAAAUAAAGCUAAUAAUAAAAUAAAUACUAUUAGAGUCUUGAAAAAGACGGUUGCUAACAAGUGGCUAAAUGGGACUACAGAGAUUGUCGGGGACAUUAAACGUCAUCACGCCGAACAGGAAACUCAUCUACUACAGUACAGCCUCGUUGUGUUUAUACUCACGCUCUUGCAAACUAUUCCAACUUGUAGAUUUAUCAUUUUAUACUAAUUGUAGUGGUUUUUCAAAUUGUAGUGCUAUAAAGCUUCGUGGUGGUGACGUUAAAGCCAUGUGACUCUGGUGUAGUUCGUUUAUAGCCUACUUUUAGCUUUUUAUUUCUGGCGAUUGUAUUCAGGCUUCAAAAUUCAUAACAGCUGUGUUCAUCUGUGAAGAUUACCUUAAUGAACAAAACGUGCGUGAUUCAUAAACGUUUGCUGGUCACAGAGCUUAUUUUCUGCAAUAAUCCAAAAGCCACUGGUAAAAUCCUAUUGGCUUUUUGUCGAGGGAACCGGGGUGAUGCUGACUUCCGGGCUGGCCUACAAAACGAGGUCAUUUUUGCAGCACUCUGUUAGGUCAUUACGUAAUAACCAUGACAGGCAUAAUCAGGACGCUCCUCAAUUUGACACAGCUAUAGAAACUGAAACCUUUGGCUGAACCGGAGUGACAGUCUAAUGACGGCAUGUGCUACACUUGAUUUAUCCAAAUCUAACGGUUUUGUAGGGCUGACGUUAUGGAUCACCUCUCCUAACGCCGUAUGUGGACAGGCAGAAUUAACUACUCAACGGGUUUAUGACUUCUGAUUUUUUUGGGGGAAAUGACAGUCCGGGGCUACGUGUAGAAUAUUCUGGUCAGAUGGAGCGUUUAGUCUAUUAGACCAGUUUGCUUAAGCAGGUAAGAACACAGCAAUCACACUCAGGUGUGGACCAAAACGAGAGCGCGCCUCAUGCCGAGGUCAUGUGCGUAUUUUUGUCGAACGCCGCUGUGAAAAUGGGCGGGAACAGGAUAUGACACCAUGAUGGAUUUUUUUCUCAACAUAAAGUUGUUGGAUUCAAAUUUAUAUGACUAUAGAAUGGAAAGUAUAUUGGAUUUUUCCUUUUUUUUUUCUCUUUUUU